UACGGGAGGCAGCAGUGGGGAAUAUUGCACAAUGGGCGCAAGCCUGAUGCAGCCAUGCCGCGUGUAUGAAGAAGGCCUUCGGGUUGUAAAGUACUUUCAGUCGUGAGGAAGGUGUUAAGGUUAAUAACCUUAGCAAUUGACGUUAGCGACAGAAGAAGCACCGGCUAACUCCGUGCCAGCAGCCGCGGUAAUACGGAGGGUGCGAGCGUUAAUCGGAAUUACUGGGCGUAAAGGGCACGCAGGCGGUUAAUUAAGUUGGAUGUGAAAUCCCCGGGCUUAGCCUGGGAAUGGCAUUCAAGACUGGUUAGCUAGAGUCUUGUAGAGGGGGUAGAAUUCCAUGUGUAGCGGUGAAAUGCGUAGAGAUGUGGAGGAAUACCGGUGGCGAAGGCGGCCCCUGGGACAAAGACUGACGCUCAUGUGCGAAAGCGUGGGGAGCAAACAGGGAUUAGAUACC
RNAcentral lists this ribosomal RNA (454 nucleotides) under uncultured bacterium. Its description in RNAcentral is "bacterial SSU rRNA". It matches the Rfam family "Bacterial small subunit ribosomal RNA", at positions 340 to 786 of the family's 1533-position model. The record is from RNAcentral.